Molecule: ribosomal RNA, 540 nt
Filed under: Triticum aestivum (bread wheat)
Lineage: Eukaryota; Viridiplantae; Streptophyta; Magnoliopsida; Poales; Poaceae
Description: partial small subunit ribosomal RNA
Source: RNAcentral
AUGGGAGACGAGGACAUGGCGGCCUUCUUCGCCGCGCUGAUGCAGAUGAAGGACGCCGUCUCCGAUCGCGCCAACCAGGUUCUCCUCGAGGCGAUGCACGCCCACAUGAGCCGCAUGGCGGAGGUGGCCCCCCCGCCGCCGCCGCCCCGGAUCUUCGGUGGCAGCACCUUCGAGUAUGGUAGCAGCAGCGGCACCGCCAACAACGGGAUGGAGUUGCAGUUUCUGGCGCCUCCGUCAGAGGAGCAGGGGUUCGAGGCCGCGAUGGAUAUGCAGCAGAUGGUGAUGGCGCCGCUGCCUCCGUCUCAGGUGGUCGCCGCCGGGAUGGAUGUGCAGGACAUGCCUCCGCCGCCGGGGUUGGCCGCCGGGAUGGAUCUGGAGCAGAUGCAGAUGACGAUGCCUAAGCCGCCGGGGUCCGACGAAGGGCUAGACAAGGAGAUAGACCAAUGGCUUGAUGUGAUGCUGCCGCCAGCGGAGAUCCCUGCCGGGACGAAGACGGUGCAGCAGGGGCUCCAUCAACCGAACGCCGGCUUCCCGUACUGA